UUGCUUCCACAGCACAUAUGCUAAAAAUUAGAACAAUACAGAGAAACUUAGCAUGGCCUCUGCACCAGGAUGGCAUGCAGAUUCCUGGAUCAUUCCAUUAAAAA
This 104-nucleotide small nuclear RNA is filed under the name Mandrillus leucophaeus (drill). Lineage: Eukaryota; Metazoa; Chordata; Mammalia; Primates; Cercopithecidae. The record is from RNAcentral.